GCGACAGAUGGGAGCUUGCUCCCUGAUGUUAGCGGCGGACGGGUGAGUAACACGUGGGUAACCUGCCUGUAAGACUGGGAUAACUCCGGGAAACCGGGGCUAAUACCGGAUGCUUGUUUGAACCGCAUGGUUCAAACAUAAAAGGUGGCUUCGGCUACCACUUACAGAUGGACCCGCGGCGCAUUAGCUAGUUGGUGAGGUAACGGCUCACCAAGGCAACGAUGCGUAGCCGACCUGAGAGGGUGAUCGGCCACACUGGGACUGAGACACGGCCCAGACUCCUACGGGAGGCAGCAGUAGGGAAUCUUCCGCAAUGGACGAAAGUCUGACGGAGCAACGCCGCGUGAGUGAUGAAGGUUUUCGGAUCGUAAAGCUCUGUUGUUAGGGAAGAACAAGUACCGUUCGAAUAGGGCGGUACCUUGACGGUACCUAACCAGAAAGCCACGGCUAACUACGUGCCAGCAGCCGCGGUAAUACGUAGGUGGCAAGCGUUGUCCGGAAUUAUUGGGCGUAAAGGGCUCGCAGGCGGUUUCUUAAGUCUGAUGUGAAAGCCCCCGGCUCAACCGGGGAGGGUCAUUGGAAACUGGGGAACUUGAGUGCAGAAGAGGAGAGUGGAAUUCCACGUGUAGCGGUGAAAUGCGUAGAGAUGUGGAGGAACACCAGUGGCGAAGGCGACUCUCUGGUCUGUAACUGACGCUGAGGAGCGAAAGCGUGGGGAGCGAACAGGAUUAGAUACCCUGGUAGUCCACGCCGUAAACGAUGAGUGCUAAGUG
This 773-nucleotide ribosomal RNA is filed under the name Bacillus sp. MJ617. RNAcentral describes it as "bacterial SSU rRNA". It matches the Rfam family "Bacterial small subunit ribosomal RNA", at positions 66 to 822 of the family's 1533-position model. Lineage: Bacteria; Bacillati; Bacillota; Bacilli; Caryophanales; Bacillaceae. The record is from RNAcentral.